AGAGUUUGAUCCUGGCUCAGGAUGAAUGCUGGCGGCGUGCCUAACACAUGCAAGUCGAGCGGUAACAGGUCUAGUUUACUAGAUGCUGACGAGCGGCGAACGGCUGAGUAACGCGUAGGAAUGUGCCCCAAAGUGAGGAAUAAGCAUCGGAAACGGUGUCUAAUGCCGCAUAUGAUCUUCGGAUUAAAGGAUUUAUCCGCUUUGGGAGCAGCCUGCGUACGAUUAGAUAGUUGGUGAGGUAAAGGCUCACCAAGUCGACGAUCGUUAGCUGGUCUGAGAGGAUGACCAGCCAGACUGGAACUGAGACACGGUCCAGACUCCUACGGGAGGCAGCAGUGAGGAAUCUUCCACAAUGGGCGAAAGCCUGAUGGAGCAACGCCGCGUGCAGGAUGAAGGCCUUCGGGUUGUAAACUGCUUUUAUAAGUGAAGAAUAUGACGGUAACUUAUGAAUAAGCACCGGCUAACUACGUG
This 471-nucleotide ribosomal RNA is filed under the name uncultured bacterium. RNAcentral describes it as "bacterial SSU rRNA". It matches the Rfam family "Bacterial small subunit ribosomal RNA", at positions 8 to 507 of the family's 1533-position model. The record is from RNAcentral.